This 485-nucleotide ribosomal RNA is filed under the name uncultured bacterium. RNAcentral describes it as "partial 16S ribosomal RNA". It matches the Rfam family "Bacterial small subunit ribosomal RNA", at positions 28 to 523 of the family's 1533-position model. The record is from RNAcentral.
GAUGAACGCUGGCGGCGUGCUUAACACAUGCAAGUCGAACGAAGCAUUAACCUUGCUUGCAAGGGAGAUGACUGAGUGGCGGACGGGUGAGUAACGCGUGGGCAACCUGCCAUACACUGGGGGAUAACAGUUGGAAACGACUGCUAAUACCGCAUAUGCGCACAGUAUUACAUGAUACCGUGUGGAAAACUCCGGUGGUGUAAGAUGGGCCCGCGUCUGAUUAGCUAGUUGGUGGGGUAACGGCCUACCAAGGCGACGAUCAGUAGCCGGCGUGAGAGAGUGAACGGCCACAUUGGGACUGAGACACGGCCCAAACUCCUACGGGAGGCAGCAGUGGGGAAUAUUGCACAAUGGGGGAAACCCUGAUGCAGCAACGCCGCGUGAGUGAAGAAGUAUUUCGGUAUGUAAAGCUCUAUCAGCAGGGAAGAUAAUGACGGUACCUGACUAAGAAGCCCCGGCUAACUACGUGCCAGCAGCCGCUGUAA